UAGGGAAUCUUGCGCAAUGGGCGAAAGCCUGACGCAGCCAUGCCGCGUGAAUGAUGAAGGUCUUAGGAUUGUAAAAUUCUUUCACCGGGGAAGAUAAUGACGGUACCCGGAGAAGAAGCCCCGGCUAACUUCGUGCCAGCAGCCGCGGUAAUACGAAGGGGGCUAGCGUUGCUCGGAAUUACUGGGCGUAAAGGGCGCGUAGGCGGAUAUCUAAGUUGGGGGUGAAAGCCCGGGGCUCAACCUCGGAAUAGCCUUCAAUACUGGAUAUCUUGAGUUCGGGAGAGGUGAGUGGAAUGCCGAGUGUAGAGGUGAAAUUCGUAGAUAUUCGGCGGAACACCAGUGGCGAAGGCGACUCACUGGCCCGAUACUGACGCUGAGGCGCGAAAGCGUGGGGAGCAAACAGGAUUAGAUACCCUGGUAGUCCACGCCGUAAACGAUGAGUGCUAGUUGUCGGCAUGCAUGCAUGUCGGUGACGCAGCUAACGCAUUAAGCACUCCGCCUGGGGAGUACGGUCGCAAGAUUAAAAACUCAAAUGAAUUGACGGGGGUCAUAGCUGUUUCCUG
RNAcentral lists this ribosomal RNA (563 nucleotides) under uncultured bacterium. Its description in RNAcentral is "partial 16S ribosomal RNA". It matches the Rfam family "Bacterial small subunit ribosomal RNA", at positions 355 to 941 of the family's 1533-position model. The record is from RNAcentral.